Molecule: long non-coding RNA, 2758 nt
Organism: Beta vulgaris subsp. vulgaris (sugar beet)
Lineage: Eukaryota; Viridiplantae; Streptophyta; Magnoliopsida; Caryophyllales; Amaranthaceae
Exons: 2
Source: RefSeq, a predicted model, not a curated record
ACCGUCGGGUCAGCCGACGGCAAUAAUACAUUUUUUUCCUUUUUGUUUUUUAGAAUUAAAUUUACCGUCGGCUCUGUAUUUUUACCGAUGGAUAAUCCGUCGGUAAAUUCUUUGUUAAGUUUCUUGUGCAUCGUCCUUUUCCUAUCCUCUCAUUUCCCCUUAUCUUCAAUUCCCUUAAACCUUCACCAUCUCUCUUAUUUCACCCGCCUCCACAUCUUAUUUUCUCUCCACUCUCUUCACUCUCUUCUCACCCUCUUUCUUUUUUGGAAAAAUUGAUGAUGGGAAUAAUCCUACCUUUGGGUGACCUUCUUAAAACAGUCCCACUCUUGAGUUAACUCAAUAAAAUCCCACCUUUUUGUCUUAUCUUCUUAGACUGGACCUUCACCUGUUGGUAACCUACAAUUGCAAGUUAACUCAAUUUUAAUUUUAAUUAACCUAAAUAAAAUGAAUCUAACAACCAACCAUUAAUCUAAAAACUUCCGACCCCGACCAACAAUACCUCUACAGGGAACACCACAACCGCCAACACCACCACCACCCGUCUCUGUCUCGACCACCAACAAACCACCUUCCACAAAUCAACACCAAACCCACCCUAGCUCCGUCCCCACUAACCAUAAUCCACCUUGCGAGGCCGAAUUGUCGACUAUUCUGCGACUGUGAAGGUGUCGAAAGACUCACUCAUUCAUCUCGAUCUCCUCUCUCCUCCUCAAUUUAUGUUGUGUGUGUUUUAUCUGAACCUGGUUGUUUGUUGUUAUGUGUUUAAUUUAUGUUUUUGAGAUUAAAUCUGUCAUUCGAUCAAUUUGAUUGCUUUUCUGGUGAAUACAAACUGAUUUACCUCUGUAACCCAGAUGAGAUAGCUUCCCUCUGAUUAUUAAAUAUAAAACAGUAACGAAUUAAACUAAACAAACAAAUUAACACAUUAAGAUCUUAUCAAAAUAUUUAGUCUGAAUUAACAAGUGUUUUAGAUGAUUCAUGGCAAUGUGAAUUCGAGAAUUUCUUCGCAUGUUUUGUGCCGCACGAGUUCGAAGGAUAAUCCUUCUGAGAGGUUGUUUUCGUCCAGCAUUGAUAGAUCGGUUUCGGAUGGGAUCUUUAUCAAUUGAAUCGAAAGGUUGUGCUAGAAUUAGUUGGGGUCCCGGGGAGGUAAGAAGGGAUGAUGUGCCAUGGUUUGGAGGAGGAGAGAGAAAGUUGUUGAGGAGGAAUGAUGGUGAUGUGGAGAGGAUGGGGUUUGAAGGAAAGAGGAUAGAAGUGGUGGAACCGUGUAAGUGUUGGGUGAAGGAGAGGAUCAUGAAGUACGGUUGAAGUUGAACGUGAAGAGGAGUUAUUUGUGGGUGAGGUCAGAGCCCAAAGAUGGUGAUAGUGUACCCGCCAUUGAUGAAGAGGAGGAAAGAGAAAAAAAAAGACAUAUUAUAAGAGCUUCCAGAGAGAUGGAGAGAAGAGAAGAUGAACAAAGGGAGUUAAUGUUUAGUAGAGAUGGUCUGCACUUUUUUUUAUUUAUUUAAGACAUUAUUAAUGCAAGUUAGAUGAAAAAGUAAAACUUACUAAUGUUUAGCAGGUUAUCAAUAGUUAACUAGUUAAUGGAGACCAUUUUAAGAAGAUAAGACAAAAAGGUGGAAUUUUAUUAAGUUAACUAAAAAAUGGGACUGUUUUAAGAAGACCACCCAAAGGUGGAAUUAUUCCCAUUAAUUUUAUCUUCUUUUUUUCAUCUUCAAUUCUUCAACCUCAAAACCUCAAUUCUCAUCAUCUCAAAUUAACAAGUAAGUAUUCUCUCCUUUUUUUUGUUUUUCUUUUUUUCUGGUUUUAUUUUUUUCUUUUUUGUUUUUUUCCUAUUUCAUUUUCUCUUCUUGUUUGAAAUUUAACCCCAAAUUAACAAGUAAGUUAUUUUAGGUGGGAUUAUUUCCUUUUUUGUUGAUUUUCCCUUCUUGUUUUUAGGCUUUUUUCUUUGAAUUUGCGUUUUUUAUUCGGAAUUUAGAGGGUUUUUGUUUGAAAUUUAACCCCAAAUUUCAUGAAAUGUGAGGUUGGAUUUUUGAGUAAAUUUGGGGUUAAAAAAUGCUGAUAUUGGUGGCGGGGUGCUGGUUGUGGGUUGAGAAUUGCGGUUUGGGAGUUGGGCUGGGUUGGGGUUGUGCGAUUGUGCGGGGUUGGGGUUGGGGUAGGGUUGCUGGUUGUGGGUAUGGUUGUUCAGGGUUUUUACGUGGAUGGGUUCGUGGGUGGUUUGGGUUUUUGGGUGGGUGGAUUCGUGGGUGGGUUCGUGUGUGGGUGAGGUUAAUUUUGUUUUUAAUUUGAUUUUUUUUGGGUUAAUUUUGUCAGAUUUGUUUUUAAUUUGAUUUUCUUUGGUUAAUUUUGGUUUAAUUGUCAAAUUUAUUAUGCUAUUCCAUUUUUCAGAUUUAUUAUCAUAGUUUAUUUUAUUUAAUUUAAUUAUUAUCGUCAUUUUUUGUAUGCAUUUGGUGUGUAAUUUAUUUUGAUUCAGUUAUUGUAUAGUUUAUGUUCAUUUAAUUUCUUAUAUGUGUCUUUUUUUUUUUUUGAUGUUCUUGGUUGCAGAAUUUGAUUCCACAAGAUUGAAGAUCUAGAAAUUUAGUUAUUUUAUUUAGAAAUUUUUUAAUUUUUUGUUUCAGAUUUAUCAUAUUUUAAUUGUAUUAGUUGUAUUUGAUUUUAAGUAUAUCAGAAUUUUUUUAUUAGAUUUAUCAAAGUUAUUGUAUUCUUUUUGGAAGCACAUAUGUAAUAUUUUACAAAUUAAAAAAUGAAAUGUUUAUUUUUAUUA